AUUCGUCUUCAGGGGCAGGGUGAAAUUCCCGACCGGUGGUAUAGUCCACGACCUAUUGGUUCGCCAUUUAGCUGAACUGGUGUAAUUCCAGUACCGACAGUAAAGUCUGGAUAAAGAAGAUGGGG
RNAcentral lists this non-coding RNA (125 nucleotides) under Carnobacterium maltaromaticum. RNAcentral describes it as "FMN". It matches the Rfam family "FMN riboswitch aptamer (RFN element)". From Rfam's summary of the family: The RFN element is a highly conserved domain that is found frequently in the 5'-untranslated regions of prokaryotic mRNAs that encode for flavin mononucleotide (FMN) biosynthesis and transport proteins. This element is a metabolite-dependent riboswitch that directly binds FMN in the absence of proteins. The record is from RNAcentral. Lineage: Bacteria; Bacillati; Bacillota; Bacilli; Lactobacillales; Carnobacteriaceae.